Molecule: ribosomal RNA, 851 nt
Filed under: Pseudomonas sp.
Lineage: Bacteria; Pseudomonadati; Pseudomonadota; Gammaproteobacteria; Pseudomonadales; Pseudomonadaceae
Description: bacterial SSU rRNA
Rfam family: Bacterial small subunit ribosomal RNA
Source: RNAcentral
UGACGCUGCGGCAGGCCUAACACAUGCAAGUCGAGCGGUAGAGAGGUGCUUGCACCUCUUGAGAGCGGCGGACGGGUGAGUAAUGCCUAGGAAUCUGCCUGGUAGUGGGGGAUAACGCUCGGAAACGGACGCUAAUACCGCAUACGUCCUACGGGAGAAAGCAGGGGACCUUCGGGCCUUGCGCUAUCAGAUGAGCCUAGGUCGGAUUAGCUAGUUGGUGAGGUAAUGGCUCACCAAGGCGACGAUCCGUAACUGGUCUGAGAGGAUGAUCAGUCACACUGGAACUGAGACACGGUCCAGACUCCUACGGGAGGCAGCAGUGGGGAAUAUUGGACAAUGGGCGAAAGCCUGAUCCAGCCAUGCCGCGUGUGUGAAGAAGGUCUUCGGAUUGUAAAGCACUUUAAGUUGGGAGGAAGGGCCGUUACCUAAUACGUGAUGGUUUUGACGUUACCGACAGAAUAAGCACCGGCUAACUCUGUGCCAGCAGCCGCGGUAAUACAGAGGGUGCAAGCGUUAAUCGGAAUUACUGGGCGUAAAGCGCGCGUAGGUGGUUCGUUAAGUUGGAUGUGAAAUCCCCGGGCUCAACCUGGGAACUGCAUUCAAAACUGUCGAGCUAGAGUAUGGUAGAGGGUGGUGGAAUUUCCUGUGUAGCGGUGAAAUGCGUAGAUAUAGGAAGGAACACCAGUGGCGAAGGCGACCACCUGGACUGAUACUGACACUGAGGUGCGAAAGCGUGGGGAGCAAACAGGAUUAGAUACCCUGGUAGUCCACGCCGUAAACGAUGUCAACUAGCCGUUGGGAGCCUUGAGCUCUUAGUGGCGCAGCUAACGCAUUAAGUGACCGCCUGGGAG